Molecule: ribosomal RNA, 461 nt
Filed under: uncultured bacterium
Lineage: Bacteria
Description: partial 16S ribosomal RNA
Rfam family: Bacterial small subunit ribosomal RNA
Source: RNAcentral
CCUACGGGAGGCUGCAGUGAGGAAUAUUGGUCAAUGGGCGCAAGCCUGAACCAGCCAAGUCGCGUGAGGGAUGACGGUCCUAUGGAUUGUAAACCUCUUUUGUCGGGGAGCAAGGCCCGCCACGUGUGGCAGGAAGGAGAGUACCCGAAGAAAAAGCAUCGGCUAACUCCGUGCCAGCAGCCGCGGUAAUACGGAGGAUGCGAGCGUUAAUCGGAAUUACUGGGCGUAAAGGGUGCGCAGGCGGUUGAGUAAGACAGAUGUGAAAUCCCCGAGCUUAACUCGGGAAUGGCAUAUGUGACUGCUCGACUAGAGUGUGUCAGAGGGAGGUGGAAUUCCACGUGUAGCAGUGAAAUGCGUAGAUAUGUGGAAGAACACCGAUGGCGAAGGCAGCCUCCUGGGACAUAACUGACGCUCAGGCACGAAAGCGUGGGGAGCAAACAGGAUUAGAUACCCUAGUAGUC